GGCGCUAUCGUCUAGCGGUCUAGGACGGCAGGUUCUCAUCCUGCUAACCUCGGUUCGAGUCCGAGUAGCGUCACCC
This 76-nucleotide transfer RNA is filed under the name Candidatus Shapirobacteria bacterium CG09_land_8_20_14_0_10_39_12. RNAcentral describes it as "tRNA-Glu". It matches the Rfam family "tRNA". Rfam says of the family: Transfer RNA (tRNA) molecules are approximately 80 nucleotides in length. Their secondary structure includes four short double-helical elements and three loops (D, anti-codon, and T loops). Further hydrogen bonds mediate the characteristic L-shaped molecular structure. tRNAs have two regions of fundamental functional importance: the anti-codon, which is responsible for specific mRNA codon recognition, and the 3' end, to which the tRNAs corresponding amino acid is attached (by aminoacyl-tRNA synthetases). tRNAs cope with the degeneracy of the genetic code in two manners: having more than one tRNA (with a specific anti-codon) for a particular amino acid; and 'wobble' base-pairing, i.e. permitting non-standard base-pairing at the 3rd anti-codon position. The record is from RNAcentral. Lineage: Bacteria; Candidatus Shapironibacteriota.